CGGAGGAAGGUGGGGAUGACGUCAAAUCAUCCAUGCCCCUUAUGACCUGGGCUACGACACCGUGCUACAAUGGGCGGUACAAAGGGUCGCGAACCCGCGAGGGGGAGCCAAUCCCAAAAAAGCCGCUCUCAGUUCCGGAUUGCAGGCUGCAACUCGCCUGCAUGAAGCCGGAAUCGCUAGUAAUCGCGGAUCAGCAUGCCGCGGUGAAUACGUUCCCGGGCCUU
RNAcentral lists this ribosomal RNA (224 nucleotides) under uncultured Geobacillus sp. Its description in RNAcentral is "partial 16S ribosomal RNA". It matches the Rfam family "Bacterial small subunit ribosomal RNA", at positions 1164 to 1382 of the family's 1533-position model. The record is from RNAcentral. Lineage: Bacteria; Bacillati; Bacillota; Bacilli; Caryophanales; Anoxybacillaceae.